AUACGAAGGGGGCUAGCGUUGUUCGGAAUCACUGGGCGUAAAGCGCACGUAGGUGGACUAAUUAGUUGAGGGUGAAAUCCCGGGGCUCAACCUCGGAACUGCCUUCAAUACUGUUAGUCUUGAGUCCGAGAGAGGUGAGUGGAAUUCCUAGUGUAGAGGUGAAAUUCGUAGAUAUUAGGAAGAACACCAGUGGCGAAGGCGGCUCACUGGCUCGGUACUGACGCUGAGGUGCGAAAGCGUGGGGAGCAAACAGGAUUAGAUACCCUAGUAGUCC
RNAcentral lists this ribosomal RNA (274 nucleotides) under uncultured bacterium. RNAcentral describes it as "partial 16S ribosomal RNA". It matches the Rfam family "Bacterial small subunit ribosomal RNA", at positions 523 to 796 of the family's 1533-position model. The record is from RNAcentral.